RNAcentral lists this ribosomal RNA (433 nucleotides) under uncultured bacterium. RNAcentral's name for it is "partial 16S ribosomal RNA". It matches the Rfam family "Bacterial small subunit ribosomal RNA", at positions 29 to 507 of the family's 1533-position model. The record is from RNAcentral.
AACGAACGCUGGCGGCAUGCCUGACACAUGCAAGUCGAACGAGACCUUCGGGUCUAGUGGCGCACGGGUGCGUAACGCGUGGGAACCUGCCCUUAGGUUCGGAAUAACUCUCCGAAAGGGGUGCUAAUACCGGAUAAUGUCUUCGGACCAAAGAUUUAUCGCCUUUGGAUGGGCCCGCGUUGAAUUAGCUAGUUGGUAGGGUAAAAGCCUACCAAGGCGACGAUCCAUAGCUGGUCAGAGGGGAUGAUCAGCCACACUGGGACUGAGACACGGCCCAGACUCCUACGGGAGGCGGCAGUGGGGAAUAGUGGACAGUGGGCGAAAGCCUGAUCCAGCAAUGCCGCGUGAGUGAUGAAGGCCUGAGGGUUGUAAAGCUCUUUUACCCAGGAUGAUAAUGACAGUACCGGGAGAAUAAGCUCCGGCUAACUCCGUG